UGGGGAAUAUUGGACAAUGGGCGCAAGCCUGAUCCAGCAAUGCCGCGUGAGUGAUGAAGGCCUUCGGGUUGUAAAGCUCUUUCGCACGCGACGAUGAUGACGGUAGCGUGAGAAGAAGCCCCGGCUAACUUCGUGCCAGCAGCCGCGGUAAUACGAAGGGGGCUAGCGUUGUUCGGAAUUACUGGGCGUAAAGGGCGCGUAGGCGGUGGAUCAAGUCAGGCGUGAAAGCCCCGGGCUCAACCUGGGAACCGCGCUUGAGACUGGUGCGCUAGAGUUCGGGAGAGGAUGGUGGAAUUCCCAGUGUAGAGGUGAAAUUCGUAGAUAUUGGGAAGAACACCGAUGGCGAAGGCAGCCAUCUGGACCGACACUGACGCUGAGGCGCGAAAGCGUGGGGAGCAAACAGGAUUAGAUACCCUGGUAGUCCACGCCGUAAACGAUGAGUGCUAGACGUCGGGGGCCCUCAGGGCUUCGGUGUCGCAGCUAACG
RNAcentral lists this ribosomal RNA (486 nucleotides) under uncultured Pseudomonadota bacterium. RNAcentral describes it as "bacterial SSU rRNA". It matches the Rfam family "Bacterial small subunit ribosomal RNA", at positions 355 to 857 of the family's 1533-position model. The record is from RNAcentral. Lineage: Bacteria; Pseudomonadati; Pseudomonadota.